CAUUCUAUCCUUUGUAAGGGUCAGACGAGGUUACUUAGAGUGCCUGCCACCACAGCUCACUCACGGUAACAUGAGGAUACCUGUCCAUGCUGGCACAAACAAGAGCAGAAAGCAGACGUCCAAGCAGUGCACCGGGAACACUCACUCUGGAAGGCUAAAAUGCUUGCAGCUUGCUUCCUGUGCUAGCUCAAGUCCAGGAAUUCCUAUCUCCUCGAAAAUGUGGGAUAACAGCCAUCAGAUAGAGCUGACGUGAGGAAUGUGUACAUGGAGAAAAGUACGGCUAACAACACACUGACGGAAACUGGAAAUAAGACAGGCUGUGCUAACGUCUGUGACCAGAUAGAUCAUCACGUAUUUUCCAGACUCCCUGCUAAGGAACCUGGGAAAGCAGUAGAAGAUGGCCCAAGUCCUUGGGACCCUGCACCCGUGUGGGAGAUCCAGAAGAAGCUCCUGGCUCCUGGCUUCGGAUCGGCGCAGCUCUGGCCAUUGCAGCCAAUUGGGGAGUGAACCAGCAGAUGGAAGACCUCUCUCUCUCUCUCUCUCUGCCUCUCCUCUCUCUGUGUAACUGACUUUCAAAUCAAUAAAUAAAUCUUUAAAAAAAGCAUAGUAA
Molecule: non-coding RNA, 610 nt
Organism: Oryctolagus cuniculus (rabbit)
Lineage: Eukaryota; Metazoa; Chordata; Mammalia; Lagomorpha; Leporidae
Source: RefSeq, a predicted model, not a curated record